This 76-nucleotide transfer RNA is filed under the name Bacillus phage vB_BmeM-Goe8. RNAcentral's name for it is "tRNA-Glu". It matches the Rfam family "tRNA". Rfam says of the family: Transfer RNA (tRNA) molecules are approximately 80 nucleotides in length. Their secondary structure includes four short double-helical elements and three loops (D, anti-codon, and T loops). Lineage: Duplodnaviria; Heunggongvirae; Uroviricota; Caudoviricetes; Herelleviridae. The record is from RNAcentral.
UGGCUCUGUGGUGAAGCGGCUUAACACACCCGGCUUUCUACCGGGGAUACGCCAGUUCGAAUCUGGUCAGAGCUAU